Molecule: ribosomal RNA, 1351 nt
Filed under: uncultured marine eukaryote
Lineage: Eukaryota
Description: SSU rRNA
Rfam family: Eukaryotic small subunit ribosomal RNA
Source: RNAcentral
CACUUCUAAGGAAGGCAGCAGGCGCGCAAAUUACCCAAUCCUGACUCAGGGAGGUAGUGACAAGAAAUAACAAUAAACCGGCAUCAGCCGGUUUAAUUGGAAUGAGUACAAUUUAAACAUCUUAACGAGGAACAAUUGGAGGGCAAGUCUGGUGCCAGCAGCCGCGGUAAUUCCAGCUCCAAUAGCGUAUACUAAAGUUGUUGCAGUUAAAAAGCUCGUAGUUGGAUUUCUGCGGGAGCGGGGCGGCACACCCACUAUGUGGGUCGUAGCUAGCACUUCUCCUGCAUCCUGCCGCGAACCGUGCUACCAUUAGUUUGGUGGCGCCGGGGAUCGGCUCGUUUACUUUGAGAAAAAUAGAGUGUUCAAAGCAGGCCACACGCCUUGAAUAAGUUAGCAUGGAAUAAUGAUUAAGGACUUCGGUUCUAUUUUGUUGGUGUUCGGGACUGAAGUAAUGAUUGAUAGGGACAGUUGGGGCGGUCUGUAUUCCAAAGCGAGAGGUGAAAUUCUUAGGCCUUCGGAAGACAAACAGCUGCGAAAGCGUUCCGCAAGGAUGUUCCCUUUGAUCAAGAACGAAAGUUGGGGGAUCGAAGACGAUCAGAUACCGUCGUAGUCUCAACUAUAAACUAUACCAGCUAGGGGUCGGCCAACGUUUCUUUAUACCGACUUGGUCGGCACCUUAUGAGAAAUCAAAGCAUCUGGGUUCCGGGGGGAGUAUGGUCGCAAGGCUGAAACUUAAAGGAAUUGACGGAAGGGCACCACCAGCCGUGGAGCCUGUGGCUUAAUUUGACUCAACACGGGAAAACUUACCAGGUCCAGACAUAGUAAGGAUUGACAGAUUGAUAGCUCUUUCUUGAUUCUGUGGGUGGUGGUGCAUGGCCGUUCUUAGUUGGUGGAGUGAUUUGUCUGGUUAAUUCCGUUAACGAACGAGACCCCAGCCUGCUAAAUAGCGCGCGUGAGCUUUGCUCGCGGCGAGCUUCUUAGAGGGACUAUGAUGCGCGAUAGCACAUGGAAGUUUGGGGCAAUAACAGGUCUGUGAUGCCCUUAGAUGUUCUGGGCCGCACACGGGCUACACUGGCGCCUGCAACGAGCAUAUCAGCUGGCCCGAGAGGGUCUUGGCUAAUCUUUUGAACCGGCGCCGUGCUUGGGAUUGACCUUUGCAAUUGUUGGUCAUGCAACGAGGAAUGCCUUGUAAACGCGAGUCAUCAGCUCGCAUUGAAUACGUCCCUGCCCUUUGUACACACCGCCCGUCGCUCCUACCGAUGAAUGUUCCGAUGAAAUUUUCGGAGAGCACCUGUGAACUUGGCUCCGCCUUGCGAACGGGAGGCUCAAAGUCACUUAAAUCUGAACAUUU